CUGGUCUUGACAUCCACGGAAGUUUUCAGAGAUGAGAAUGUGCCUUCGGGAACCGUGAGACAGGUGCUGCAUGGCUGUCGUCAGCUCGUGUUGUGAAAUGUUGGGUUAAGUCCCGCAACGAGCGCAACCCUUAUCCUUUGUUGCCAGCGGUCCGGCCGGGAACUCAAAGGAGACUGCCAGUGAUAAACUGGAGGAAGGUGGGGAUGACGUCAAGUCAUCAUGGCCCUUACGACCAGGGCCACACACGUGCUACAAUGGCGCAUACAAAGAGAAGCGACCUCGCGAGAGCAAGCGGACCUCAUAAAGUGCGUCGUAGUCCGGAUUGGAGUCUGCAACUCGACUCCAUGAAGUCGGAAUCGCUAGUAAUCGUGGAUCAGAAUGCCACGGUGAAUACGUUCC
RNAcentral lists this ribosomal RNA (399 nucleotides) under uncultured bacterium. Its description in RNAcentral is "bacterial SSU rRNA". It matches the Rfam family "Bacterial small subunit ribosomal RNA", at positions 975 to 1374 of the family's 1533-position model. The record is from RNAcentral.